AUGACAGCUGAAUCGGAGCCGCUAGUGGUGUUCUGGAGUGGACGGGGGAUUCAUAUAACGGUGCUAUUGAGCUUCACAGUGCAGGUGACGCUUUUCCUCUUGACAGAUAUUCGUCGACGCGCAGACUGGCCCGUGCUAAAGGUCGUCAUUUGGUCAGCAUACAUGCUGGCCGACAUGACGGCUAUAUAUGCCCUGGGUCAUUUGUCCGUGGUUGUGAGGUCGCCCGAGCAUCACCUUAUGGCACUUUGGGCACCGUUGCUGCUGGUGCACCUUGGUGGCCAAGACAGCAUCACUGCCUAUGCCAUCGAGGACAAUCGGCUGUGGCUGCGUCACCUGCAGACUUUCGGAGUGCAGGUCCUAGCAGCAGCCUAUGUGUUGUAUGCGUCUUCCGUUCUCUUCCACUCGUCCUUGCUCCGUUCGGCCGCCAUCCUCAUAUUUGUGGUUGGGUUUCUCAAG
This 456-nucleotide ribosomal RNA is filed under the name Triticum aestivum (bread wheat). Its description in RNAcentral is "partial small subunit ribosomal RNA". The record is from RNAcentral. Lineage: Eukaryota; Viridiplantae; Streptophyta; Magnoliopsida; Poales; Poaceae.